UUGAACGCUGGCGGCAUGCUUUACACAUGCAAGUCGAACGGCAGCACGGGGGCAACCCUGGUGGCGAGUGGCGAACGGGUGAGUAAUGCAUCGGAACGUACCCAGUCGUGGGGGAUAACGCAGCGAAAGUUGUGCUAAUACCGCAUACGACCUGAGGGUGAAAGCGGGGGACCGUAAGGCCUCGCGCGAUUGGAGCGGCCGAUGUCUGAUUAGCUAGUUGGUGGGGUAAAGGCCCACCAAGGCGACGAUCAGUAGCGGGUCUGAGAGGAUGAUCCGCCACACUGGGACUGAGACACGGCCCAGACUCCUACGGGAGGCAGCAGUGGGGAAUUUUGGACAAUGGGCGAAAGCCUGAUCCAGCAAUGCCGCGUGCAGGAUGAAGGCCUUCGGGUUGUAAACUGCUUUUGUACGGAACGAAAAGUCUCGGGAUAAUACCCUGGGACCAUGACGGUACCGUAAGAAUAAGCACCGGCUAACUACGU
Molecule: ribosomal RNA, 482 nt
Filed under: uncultured bacterium
Lineage: Bacteria
Description: bacterial SSU rRNA
Rfam family: Bacterial small subunit ribosomal RNA
Source: RNAcentral